Long non-coding RNA from Anguilla rostrata (American eel), 714 nucleotides. RefSeq lists it as uncharacterized. Lineage: Eukaryota; Metazoa; Chordata; Actinopteri; Anguilliformes; Anguillidae. The transcript has 2 exons. The record is from RefSeq and is a predicted model, not a curated record.
AAUUAGCAUAUGUAAACGCCCCGCCAAUCCCCAUAAAAGGGCAUGAGACUGCAGGGCCGUGUGCACACACAGAAAUCGAAAAGAAAAGUUGAGAGCGAAGUCAAUAAUGCCCAAACGAAAAUCUAAAGACGGUGGAACACCGGACUCCAAACGCUGCCGUGCUUCAGGAAUCCAGCAGCUCUGAAGUGACUCAGCUCCCAGAAGGGCACCGUAUCUGCUGUCUUGUGGUGUACACAGCGUCCACUUCAGAUAACCCCAGUGAGGAAACAGACCGAGGCCUGCCACUGUGCCUGCAACUGUACAGCUUUCCAGCAGAACCAGGGCUAUGACUACACCAACUAUGCAGCUUUCCAACAGACUCAACGCUGCGGCUAUACAAACAGAGAGAGAUUACUUGUGCUCCUGAGGUGGAGAAACUGAAUUACUGGGAUUACUGUAUCCCUGUGUGCUUUGGGACCCACACUGCAAUCUUUUGCAAGCAUCUGUGCUGCAUGUCCAAGAACAUAACCUGAAAAUGUCCACAUGGGACUACCUGCUCAAUCAGCACAAAACUCUGUCACCAAUCUGACAGAUACAUUUAUGCGAAACCAUAUCCUAAUGCAAAGUGCUAAAUGUGUGUACUAGGUGUACUGUACUAGGCAAGCAGAUUUAACUUUUUUUGCUGGUUGAUAUCAAUAGAGGCACAAUAAAUUCUUGAAUUUUGUCUAUGUUUUA